RNAcentral lists this unclassified non-coding RNA (214 nucleotides) under soil metagenome. RNAcentral describes it as "partial contains 5.8S ribosomal RNA, internal transcribed spacer 2, and large subunit ribosomal RNA". The record is from RNAcentral.
AACUGAUACUACCUGCGGGAACCUGCGGAGGGAUCAUUACGUAUUAGGGCUGCCCUUGGGCGCUCUUUACACACCCACCCUUUGCCUAUGUGUACCUUUCAUAGCUUCCUCGGCGGGCUCGCCCGCCGCCAGGAACCCACGAAACCCCUUGCAUCCUACAUGAAAACUUCCGAUUACAAACCUAAAUUAUCACAACUUUCAGCAAUGGAUCUCU